GCCAGUUGGAGCUGGUACAUUGCUGUCUUCACUGGAGUGCUGCAAGCUCGAAGUGUGAUCCUGAGUAGCUGUUAUUCAAUACCAUAUGCUCUUAAGGACAACGCCCUGAUGUCCAAGGUCAAUCAGCAAGAAGCUGAGAAGGCACUGUCAAAAUGGUUCACUGGGGCAAGGGACAGAGGAGGACAGAGAGCAUCAAGAACGCAAAAAAGGAUGUCUGUUUGAGAAAGGUUAUAACUGCAGUUGCUGAUUUGAACUGUCAUAGUUCUUUUAUUUUUCUUAAAGGAAAACCUUUUUCAAUAUUUUACCAUGUUCUUCCCUCAACUUAGAUGAAUAAAUACAUACCUCUAUUUUCUCAAUGCGUGCACUUAAAGGUGGGGUGCACAAUUUCUGAAAAAAAAAAGUUUUGGAAAAGGAAGUCGGGCAGACUACCAAAACACACUUGUAGCCAAUCAGUAGCAUGUCUACUAACUGACAUCGUUUCCUGCCUUGCGUAUUUGUGGGGCAGGUCUAUCAAAAGAAGGUCCAGAUUCUAUUAUGGCAAGGGUGUGUUUGUUUAGAUGAUUUCAAAAUGUAAACAUUAGUGAUGCAACAAUACACUUAGUUCACGGUUCAAUACAAUUUUCGGUUCUUGUCCACGGUUUUCGGUUCGGUAUCGGUCCUGAUGCCUUGACCUAUUAAAGUGUUUUUUAAUUACCGGUAUUCUAUGCUUGGGUAACAGGAACAGUGAGAUGUUAAGAAGCAAAAAUACUGGUUUUAAUUGCAGUUCUCUUUAUUUUAUGUAGAUGCAACAUGAUCUUACACAUUUCUAGUGUAUUGAUACAGUAAUAUAAGAUAUAAUUAAAUAAAGAUAUAUAAAAAUUAUAUCCUAUUCAAACUGGGGAACAUGUGAAUUCAUUAAAUUACAUAAAUUGGCCAUUUUAUAUACCUGUACUUAGUAAAUUAAACUUUACAUUGUAAAUGAAGGAUAUACCUUACCGCACUACUGUUCAAUCCAACAUCAUGUUGUCUAUGUAGAAACCAAAAAUGCGUUCCUCAAUCAAGAUUACUUGUGGGAUUUAUUUUAGCAUCAGGCGCAUUCUCUUCUUGAGUUGAACUUUUUGAGGACGGAAGACGUGUUUGAGGCAAAUAACGCGCGUUUGCGAAUUUGCAUCUUUACAUUGAUGUUGUAUGUAAUCUACACGCGCAAGUAGUUAAUCCUCACCUCAGAUUUAAAAGACAGUUGUGCUGCUGCUUUUUGUUGUCGUAUUUCUGUUGGGUGUGUGCGCACGCGAAUGAAAUCUGACACCAGCAUUGCAAGCAGAGUUCAAGCAGAGUUAACGCAGGUAGCGCACAGUGAUUGGAUAUCAACUCGCUGUGGCGUUUAUAAGCGUGCAGAUCAUGCGGACGCGCACAUUAACAAAAGUGCAGGGAAUAUAAAACUGAUAGAUUUGGAUGGAUAAACCGAAAAACCGCAAUUCACAUGCACGUAUUGCACCAGGGGGGUCGAACCGAACGGUUCAAUAAUGUAUUGAGAAUUGUGGCAUCCCUAGUAAACGUUGGCUUUCAUGCACCCUGCCUUUAUUUGUUGUGAAGUGUGGCGUGAAUAUGUUAGCAUUUAGCCUAGCACCAUUCAUCCAUUAAGAUCCAAACAGGGAAGAAUUUAAUAGCCACCAAAAACUUCCAUGUUUUCUAGGGGUGCACGAUUCAGAAAAUUCGAUUCAUGAUUCGAUUCCAAUUUUCGAUUCAAAAACGAUUCUCGGUUUUAAAAAACAAUUCACAGUAUGUAAAUGUAGUUUACUUUUUCCUAUGUGACUGAUUGAAGUAGAUAUACAAUUUUAUAGAAAAGAAACACAACAAGUUAAAUGUAGUUUGAUGUUACUUUAUGUCUUUAUGCAAAAAUAAAAACUGUUAUGAAGCAAUUA
This is a long non-coding RNA of Paramisgurnus dabryanus, 1901 nucleotides long. RefSeq lists it as uncharacterized. Lineage: Eukaryota; Metazoa; Chordata; Actinopteri; Cypriniformes; Cobitidae. The record is from RefSeq and is a predicted model, not a curated record.